UAAAGGGGCUAGGGGUCAGGGGCUGGUGGCUCCCCACCGCUCGGGGGGCAGGUUCGGGAGCUGAAUGUGCAGCCCGCAGCUCGGUGGACCCAGGAAGGAAUACGAGAUGAUCAGUGCUCCCCUCCACUGCCAGCCCUGCAGCAAGGAGCAAAACCUCAGCGCGCCGUCCAAAACCCAGGGGAGACAAACCUCACCGCUGUCUGUCACAGGCGCUGUUACAAUGAAUGAGAAUAUCCAGGAAUUAAGGGAGGCACUGGAAAGACAAACAAAAGAGGCUCUGAAACUCCAUGAAGAAAUCGCCAAAUUCCCAGUGGAAUCAGUGAUACCUUCUUUAAGUUGUGAGGAAUCUUUACCGAGUGGCAAUGUGCCUAAUGUGGGUGCUGCUAGCUCAUUUCUCGGAAACCAGAAUGUUUUAGCUUCUUGCAUUCUUAGCACAGUGAUGGAAAACUCAGCCUCUUCUAGUAUUGGUAGCAGUUCACCCAGUAGUGUCUUCUGUUCCAAAUAUGAAAUGCAUACUGAUUCUGAGAAAAAAACCAAGAUGGAAAACGUUCUGGAAGAAUACUCACAGAAAGGUAGAGAUGUGCCGAAGAGGCUGAAUGAAGCCACUGAGCUUCAUGAGCAACAGAAAAUCAGUUUAAGACUGAUAAUUGCUGAUUUGCAGACCAAACUGAUGGAAGUGCAGCUGGAAAGAGAUGCGCUUCAGGAUGCUAGACAAAAGGAAUCCCAGAGCCAAGAGAAUGUAAAAAUAGAGUUAAAAAGUACUAUUGAAGAGCUGGAAGCUGCCAACCAGCUGCAGGAGGAGAUGCUGAGGGAGGCUGACAGCCAAACUGAGCAUCUGAAAAAGAUGGUCCACAGCCAUGAGGAAGUACUUUUGGAACUACGUGACAACCUAACAGACUACGAAGGCAGCACAGGCAUGAAACAUUAUGAGCAUGAGAACGUUACCAGCCUACACAUCCACAACCUGAGCACAGCAUUUGCUGACAUCCUGCGAGAUUUAGACUCAGAGGUGUCCUAUCUCAAAGAAAAGGUUGUCCUGGUGGAAGAAGAACUUGAGUCAUUGAAAAAAGAUUCACAGACCCAAAAACAACUUUUGCUUCAGCAACAUCAAAAUAGGGAACAAACAAGAAAACAAAAUUCAGUGCAUGCACAUCAAGUGAGUCACCUGGAAUCUACAGUUUCUCAGCUGCAUUCUGAAUUACAAGAAGCUAAGAGGAUAUAUGAAGACAAGAUUGAAGAUCUUGCGAAGCGGUUGCAUCUAGCUCGUUCUGAGAUAGCAGAAGCUCAGACAGAACGAGAUCGAUGCAGCCAAGAAACUGGAAAUCUGAAUGACAGGCUUCAUCAGUUGUUGACUGAACUUCAUAAAAAAGAGAUAGAACUAAGUCUAGAAAAAGAGCAGAACAAGCGAUUUUGGGAUCGGAACACAGAGAACAGCGUCGCGAUUGACCGCCUGAGAAGACGACUAGACAGCAAAACCAUGCAAUUGCAGCGCAUGGAAAACACUGUGAAGGAAAUGAGGACUGAGUGUCAUAGACAAAUGGAGUGCCAGAUGGCUGCAAUUAAGGAAAAAAAUGAAAGCAUUGGAAGGAUCUCCUCUUUGACUACCCAGCUGGAGUCAACCAAGGAAACACUCUGUAAAGUUAAAGAAGACCUGACAGCCAAACAGACCGAUUUGGAGACAGCUGAGAAGACAGUGUCAAAUCUGACAGCCUGCCUGCAGGAAAAAGAGAGUGCCCUUGAGGUUACCAGUAAGGAAAUCAAGAAGCUACAUUCACAACUUGGUAGCAGGAUGCAGGAGCUCCAGCUGCUGAAGAAUGAAGAGGACCAUUUUCACAACGUGCAGUCGGAGUGUGAAGUACUGAAACUGCAGGUGUUAGAGAAGGAAAGGAUUAUUGAGGUCUUCCAAAAGCAAAUUGAUAAUGUGACCCAGAUUGUGGGCCAGCACAGUCAAACUGCUGGAGCAAUGGAAGUUGAGAAAUCUCAGCUUAUAGAAGAAAUAAAUGACUGGAAACUCAAAGCAGAAAAACUUAAGAUUGCAGAGGAUGAGAAAGAAGCCAGAAUACAUGAAAUGGAGGCCAGACUGAGCGAGCUGGAACUGGAAAAAGUUAAAUUAGUUAACACAUGCACCGAGAGGCUCCAUGAACUUAAUGAUAUGAAACUGGAAAAAGACCAGCUAAUAAAUGAACUCCACACCUGUCAGAGUGAGCUAGCUGGCCUUGCAGAGGGGUUUGAAGAUUUGAAGGAGUAUUACCAGGAUAAAAUGGAGGCGAUGGAAAGUACUGCAAACAGACUGAAAAUGCAGUUGAAAUCUGCCCAAGCUGAACUGGAACAGACCAGAACUGCUCUAAGGACUAUGGAGGAAUCUCAUGGCAAUGCUAUGAAAGCUGCAGUGGGAAUGCAGAAGCAGAUCACAGCCAAGAGAGGACAGAUAGAUGCAUUACAGAGCAAGAUUAAAUUCUUGGAAGAGGCAAUGACAAAUUCAGCUAAGGAGAAGCAUUACCUCAGACAAAAAAAUAGUAAACUAAGUCAAGAAUUGAGCUAUAUUACAGCAGAAAAUACCAAGAUUGCCGGGGAACUGGAGAUCCUGAGAUCACAAGACAAACGUCUGAAUGAAAAAAUAUCUAAGAUGGAGACAGCCCUUGAUAAGGUAUCCAUGCAAUUUGCAGAAUGUCAGUGCAUAAUCCAGUGUCAGGAACAAGAAGCUAUACGCUUCAGACUGCAGCAUACUUCAGAUGUAAAAGAGUUGCAGGGCCCAGGCUACUCAUCAGCUUUUGCUUCAGGCAGGCUGCGGCACAUAGUGCCUCUUUCUCAGCUGCACUCUGCUGUUGUGCCACCUUCCCUGAACUUGGCCAGCUGUGCCUCUCAUGUGCCUUCCAAGCCAGGCAUUUUGAAGGAAGAACCAUUGCAGGGUCUAAAGAGGAUUCUUCAAGAAUUAGCAGGCUCAGACAAUGACAUUCCCUCUGUGGAUCUUGGUGGGGAUGACAGCAAGGGUGAGAGAAAAUCACCUUUAGCAACCAUGAGGAAUACAGUAGGUGGUGCAAGUAGAGGGUGCGCUGCUCUCUUCAGUCUACGAUCGGAUCCUUGCAAGAGGGUUCCUUCAUGCUUACAUACUGCAGAUCUUCACUCCCAAGACGUUACCCAGCCCUUUACAGCCCUUGGAGGUGCAUCCAUCUCCUCAGCAGCUCCAUGUUAUACAUCCUCUCCCAAGAAGGUCUCUCAGGAGGAGAGAUGCCGAGAAAAGUCUCCAGUACACUUACUAUUAACUACUCCACCUGAUGACCUUGCAGCUGGCCCCAGCACCUCACCACAGCACGGACCAUCCCCAUCUGCAAGGAAGGUUGGCUCUCCAGAGGGUGCAGCCACAGUCCCCCAGAUACACUUCUCCUCGGUCACUUUAUCUUUUGCAUUUUGGAAGCAUCAGGACCUUCUCUUUAUGCAGAGUGGUAUCUAAAACUGCUGGGCUGAGCAGUCACUCUGACUGGACCAUUAAUGUUGUUGCUCAUUGACCUUUGCUUCCCCUAGCUGUCUGGAUAUGCAAGGAGGAAGUGCGUAUUUUUUAGUUCAUCUGUAUUUUCAGUGCAUGUUUAACAACUGAGAAAUACCUGUUCAUGAGCAAAGUGCAAAUAUGCGUGGCUUUUCCCUGUCAAAGCGCUGAAUUUGCUAUGUGAGUACAUGCAUGUUUCUGUACCUGUAGAGCAACCUGUUUCAGGAAACACGCAGGCGUUGUGGUGUGGAUAUCUCUGCAAUUGGAUGUAAACCACAAAUGGUUUUGCCUGUAGACCACAGGAGAUCUAGCAGGUCACAAACGUAACAUUCAGUCAAUCACCAGUCAUUGUUCAGUUCAAAGAGGAAGAUAAGUGGCAUCACUUUUUUUUGGUUGUGUUUUGGGGCUUUUGUUUUGUUUGUUAAUCUGAUCAGCCAGUUACGUCCAUCUCAGGCUGCUUUUACUAUUAUUUUUUUUUUGCCUCUUUUUAUUUGAGAAUUGAUGACUACCACAAAGAUGAAAUGAUCCAAGUUCUGGUCAGAAGAGGCUCCAGGCCUCUCAGCCCCUGGAAACUAGUGAGAAUACACCUAGGAGGCUAAGAACAAGAUGAAAGGCCUGCAAAACCUGGUGCAAUCAUUGCAGAUAAAAAACCAAGGUUCCAUAAUUUACCAAAAAUAUUCCUAUUUUUAUUUAAAAUACUAAUGCUUUCCAGAAACUCUUCUUGUUACCUGCCAAAGCACUACCCGUGCUUUUGUGUGAGUUCAGUUGAGAUGUGCCUGUUUUACUAGCAGUACCCACUUCUACAUUAUCCUGCUCCUAGGAGAGUAGAUUAAUUCCGCAAUGCACUGUUGCUCAGACCCUUAAUUCCAAUAAGCUUCAAGAUCUUUGACAUUUCAAACAUGGCAGCUGGUCAGGGAUGCCCUUGUGUGCUGUCAUGUCCAAUUAAAUGAGAUUUUUAUCAAGCUGAUGACUCUCGUGGAAACUGAAAGAUACUUCAACAGCAGUAGACUCCAAAAGCAGUGGCCUCAGAAGCAUAACCUUUCCUCCCCAACAUUUUUUAAAAUCUGAGAUGACCACAGUGACGACGGAGAGUUUUUUCAGGUUAUCUUCUGGCUCCCUUUGAAGUCACUGAGAAAAUGCUCAUGAGCUCCUGUGAUGGCAGGAUGCCAAGUGAGAGGGAAUUUCUUUUCUUUGCACUCUUUCUUAUUGCAUGUUGCUGUUGAUUCCCCUUUGCCCCUUUAAGUCUCACUGCAUAGAUUUGUUAUUAUAGUUUCCCCACAUCAUGCGGUGCACACGUGUCAGAGACAUACAAGUGACCCAAUUUAGGUAAAACUCAUCAAAUUGUUUAUAUAAGUUACAAAGUAAGUGUUCUUAUUUUUAUUCUUUGCCAUCCAUUAACAUCAUCAGUUUGCCUGGUUUUUAUAUCCACAUAAAAAAAUAUAUUCAUAUCUGUAAUGUGUCAAGAAUUACUAUAGAAAAGUGGGGGGGGGAAGCCUUUUGUGUACACACUAAUUAAACCCAUUUCCAUGAGCGCUGGGGCAAAGGGAUUGACUUCACUCCAUCCCGUAAGAGAGAUUCUGAAAUGAAUAGCAUUUCACCACGACGCCAGCAUUUGGUGCUUUGGCUUCACAAGGCAGAUGAGAUGGUGCCUGUUUAUAACUAGGUUUAUCUUUUCUGUUAAGGCCCUGCAUAUAAAGAAUUGCAAACUGAAGUUGCAUUUAUAAGGGCUUGCUAAGUACAGUGUAAUGUGUAGGAGGACAUUACAAAGCUUCAGGUGUCUGCAUCAGAGGCUUCAAUCAUUUUAACAUUAGGUGGUGUUUCAGAUAAUCCGUUCUUGCUGCUUUUUUCAGCCAUGUCGCCAAUGAUCAGAGCUCAGGAAAUGAAGAUAAAGAAAGCAAAUUAACAAGAGAAAAAGCUAUCAAAGUGAAGAUGCUGUAUACAUUACUGAUUACAUUCACGUAUGUACAUUGUGUUUAAACUAUGUUCUAUUUUUAAAGAUUAAGAAUAAAAUUUCUUACAAUUUUGUAA
This is an RNA transcript of Falco peregrinus (peregrine falcon), 5512 nucleotides long. It is a transcript of the gene named coiled-coil domain containing 158, with no coding region annotated. Lineage: Eukaryota; Metazoa; Chordata; Aves; Falconiformes; Falconidae. The record is from RefSeq and is a predicted model, not a curated record. The transcript is spliced from 23 exons.